GGCGGCAUAGCUCAGCUGGCUAGAGCGUUCGGUUCAUACCCGAAAGGUCAUAGGUUCGAUUCCUAUUGCCGCUACCA
Molecule: transfer RNA, 77 nt
Filed under: Alkaliphilus serpentinus
Lineage: Bacteria; Bacillati; Bacillota; Clostridia; Peptostreptococcales; Natronincolaceae
Description: Alkaliphilus sp. LacT tRNA-Met
Rfam family: tRNA
About the family: Transfer RNA (tRNA) molecules are approximately 80 nucleotides in length. Their secondary structure includes four short double-helical elements and three loops (D, anti-codon, and T loops). Further hydrogen bonds mediate the characteristic L-shaped molecular structure. tRNAs have two regions of fundamental functional importance: the anti-codon, which is responsible for specific mRNA codon recognition, and the 3' end, to which the tRNAs corresponding amino acid is attached (by aminoacyl-tRNA synthetases). tRNAs cope with the degeneracy of the genetic code in two manners: having more than one tRNA (with a specific anti-codon) for a particular amino acid; and 'wobble' base-pairing, i.e. permitting non-standard base-pairing at the 3rd anti-codon position.
Source: RNAcentral